UCAAACUUGGUCAUUUAGAGGAAGUAAAAGUCGUAACAAGGUUUCCGUAGGUGAACCUGCGGAAGGAUCAUUACCAAAAAAACGUAGCUGACUGGUCGCAAGGCCACGAUGCUCUGACCCUUGUGAACCGAAAAACCUUUCGCUUCGGCAGCUGCCCGGUCGGAAACGGCCGUGGCGUGAGCCUGCCGCUGGCACAAAACCUCAAAACCAGGCGUCAAAACAUUGUCUGAUGACCAAAUUUUCGAAUGAAAAUCAAAACUUUCAACAACGGAUCUCUUGGUUCCCGCAUCGAUGAAGAACGCAGC
Molecule: unclassified non-coding RNA, 305 nt
Filed under: uncultured fungus
Lineage: Eukaryota; Fungi
Description: partial contains small subunit ribosomal RNA, internal transcribed spacer 1, and 5.8S ribosomal RNA
Rfam family: Eukaryotic small subunit ribosomal RNA (bases 1-73)
Source: RNAcentral